This is a non-coding RNA of Doryrhamphus excisus (bluestripe pipefish), 1253 nucleotides long. The record is from RefSeq and is a predicted model, not a curated record. Lineage: Eukaryota; Metazoa; Chordata; Actinopteri; Syngnathiformes; Syngnathidae.
AUUAGUAUUAGAAAGUACAAGUACAUUAGUAGCACGUGGCCUGGAGGGAGUUCCGGGGGGCGGGGUAAAAGAAGCUAGCUAGCUAGCAAUCUCGCUUCCAAGACCUCAAUGGAGCAUGGCCGGACGUUCUUUGGGUAACGUACAUACCACGCGGCCUGCUGGUUUCCUGCCGUGUUGAGGCUCUUGAUGAUGGCGAAGCUGUCGCCGGAGAUCUUGGCGGCGUCGUAGCGAACCAAAGCGCAGCAACGGGAGAAGGAGCUGGGUCUCUUGUCGCCCAGCUGACGGACCCCCACCGUGAGCAACUUGGCUACUCUGCCGUUCUGCGAGCUCCAGGGCCAGCUGAUGGAGCCAAUGCCGGACCUUGGCAGACGUUAGGCCAAAGGAUUAGGUACGCCUGCACGGUCUAACCCCAGGAUGAGCGAUGAGAGUACCUGCUCUUUGGUGGCUAGCGAUGUUUUCCCAGGGAAGUUCUUGCUGCAGCCAAUGGACUUGGGGAGCUGCCUCGGUUUCACCGCCUCAAACUCCACCCCCCGACAAAGAUCGUACAGCCACUGGCUGUCGAAUGCAACGUUCCGUCCUCACAAAUCAAAAUGUCAGAACAUCGGAGGUCACGCGACGUCUUUCUUACCCCGUUUUCUCUCCAAAGUGCUGCCCCAGUUGGGCCUGAGAGAAGCGGGUCAGAUCCCCCAUCAUCUCUGCUUGCAGCGUUUCCGUAAUGGACGCCCCCAGCUUCCCCCCCAGGUUGCGUCUUGCCUCAGUGAGUCCAUCACAAGGAGACACGUGAAGAAGAAGCAAGGGUGUGAGAUUUGGGGUGAAGAUACUCACAUCUUGCCGAUGGGCAGGGUGCGGAAAAGCUCUGGCACCGAAGCCAGCGGCAGUAUCGUCUGGCGGUUGGGUUUGUUCAAGCCGCACGCUAGCUUAGCUAGCACCUGCAGGAAGGAAACGUCACAUGCGAUACUUCCAAGAUGAAUAUCUUCUAGUUGAUCAUGGUAUAUUCAAGUGUACUACUCGGGAGUAACUUCAUGACUACACGCCUUUUCCACUAGUGACUUUCUUCCAAUGUCUGACUACCGUUAGUGGUUAUGUUUAUGCUAUCUUAUGAGCUUUUUAAUAUUCAAAUAUGACAAAAUGAAGUCAAAUACAAAUGGCUACUUCUUAUUUUUAAAGAAACUACUUUAUUUGUGAAGAAAUAUCUUUAAUGAAUAAUAAUGACCUCAUGAGCUACUUCCUAGCGUGUAAAUGUGUACUUUUCC